CAGGUGCCUCAGUUGAGCUCAGGGCUUUGCCAGGGCUCUACUAUUCUGUACCUUCCUCCAAUCCUGUCUACUCAGUUGAUGUUUGCGUUUCCUGGAUCAGUCGGAGGUCUGGAUCAUUCCCUUGCUGCAUCUGUUGAGUGUCAGGCUGCUGGUGGUCUUGCUGUGUUUUCUCCACUCAGGUACUCACCAGUUUCAGAUGCACCCUGGUCCUCUCCCUGUUCAUGUUUGUUUUACUCCAGAUGAAGUUGUGCAAAUAUGGAGACAAGAGCUGGGUAUGAAGCUGCUCAAACUGCCAGAAGCUUGAAAAGAAUCAUAGCCCUUCAGCAGGGACGUAGCAGCCGGAUCAUUUUCUUUUCAGCAACCUACUCUGAUAUAUCUGUCAUUGCAGACCUGAGUCUUUGCAUUUGGUAUACUCUCAUGAAUUAGCAGCCAUGGACAUAUA
RNAcentral lists this long non-coding RNA (442 nucleotides) under Numida meleagris (helmeted guineafowl). RNAcentral's name for it is "lncRNA (ENSNMEG00000021042.1)". Lineage: Eukaryota; Metazoa; Chordata; Aves; Galliformes; Numididae. The record is from RNAcentral.